GGGGAAUAUUGGACAAUGGGCGCAAGCCUGAUCCAGCCAUGCCGCGUGAGUGAUGAAGGCCUUAGGGUUGUAAAGCUCUUUUAACGGGGAAGAUAAUGACGGUACCCGUAGAAUAAGCCCCGGCUAACUUCGUGCCAGCAGCCGCGGUAAUACGAAGGGGGCUAGCGUUGCUCGGAAUCACUGGGCGUAAAGCGCACGUAGGCGGGUCGUUAAGUCAGGGGUGGAAUCCUGGAGCUCAACUCCAGAACUGCCCUUGAUACUGGCGAUCUUGAGUUCGAGAGAGGUGAGUGGAACUGCGAGUGUAGAGGUGAAAUUCGUAGAUAUUCGCAAGAACACCAGUGGCGAAGGCGGCUCACUGGCUCGAUACUGACGCUGAGGUGCGAAAGCGUGGGGAGCAAAC
Molecule: ribosomal RNA, 400 nt
Filed under: uncultured bacterium
Lineage: Bacteria
Description: bacterial SSU rRNA
Rfam family: Bacterial small subunit ribosomal RNA
Source: RNAcentral